CCUACGGGAGGCAGCAGUGGGGGAUAUUGGACAAUGGGGGAAACCCUGAUCCAGCGACGCCGCGUGAGUGAAGAAGUAUUUCGGUAUGUAAAGCUCUAUCAGCAGGGAAGAAAGAAAUGACGGUACCUGAGUAAGAAGCCCCGGCUAACUACGUGCCAGCAGCCGCGGUAAUACGUAGGGGGCAAGCGUUAUCCGGAAUUACUGGGUGUAAAGGGAGCGUAGACGGUAAUGCAAGUCUGGAGUGAAAGGCGGGGGCUCAACCCCCGGACUGCUCUGGAAACUGUGUAACUGAAGUGCAGGAGAGGCAGGCGGAAUUCCUAGUGUAGCGGUGAAAUGCGUAGAUAUUAGGAGGAACACCAGUGGCGAAGGCGGCCUGCUGGACUGUAACUGACGUUGAGGCUCGAAAGCGUGGGGAGCAAACAGGAUUAGAUACCCUGGUAGUC
This 443-nucleotide ribosomal RNA is filed under the name uncultured bacterium. RNAcentral describes it as "partial 16S ribosomal RNA". It matches the Rfam family "Bacterial small subunit ribosomal RNA", at positions 338 to 795 of the family's 1533-position model. The record is from RNAcentral.